CUACGGAACUCCUACGGGAGGCAGCAGUGGGGAAUAUUGCACAAUGGGCGAAAGCCUGAUGCAGCGACGCCGCGUGAGGGAUGACGGCCUUCGGGUUGUAAACCUCUUUCAGCAGGGAAGAAGCUUUUGUGACGGUACCUGCAGAAGAAGCACCGGCUAACUACGUGCCAGCAGCCGCGGUAAUACGUAGGGUGCGAGCGUUGUCCGGAAUUAUUGGGCGUAAAGAGCUUGUAGGCGGUUUGUCGCGUCUGCUGUGAAAAUUCAGGGCUUAACCCUGGACGUGCAGUGGGUACGGGCAGACUAGAGUAUGGUAGGGGAGACUGGAAUUCCUGGUGUAGCGGUGGAAUGCGCAGAUAUCAGGAGGAACACCGAUGGCGAAGGCAGGUCUCUGGGCCAUUACUGACGCUGAGAAGCGAAAGCAUGGGGAGCGAACAGGAUUAGAAACCCGGGUAGUCCUCUUCGA
Molecule: ribosomal RNA, 463 nt
Filed under: uncultured bacterium
Lineage: Bacteria
Description: bacterial SSU rRNA
Rfam family: Bacterial small subunit ribosomal RNA
Source: RNAcentral